Molecule: non-coding RNA, 48 nt
Filed under: Schistosoma mansoni
Lineage: Eukaryota; Metazoa; Platyhelminthes; Trematoda; Strigeidida; Schistosomatidae
Source: RNAcentral
AUCCAGUUGACGAAUCUCAAAUAGGACGAAACGCGCGUCAAACUGGAU